CCACAAGUGCAUAAAAGCUUGACUGAUACAGCCAAGAGCAUGCAGAAAAUCGUGCGUUUUACAAAGAUAUUUUAAUUUCUUAUAUAGUCAAUAUCUUACGCAUCUUUGCGUUCAGCUUAGUACCAGGCCGGGGCAUUCAUAACAAUAAGUUAUUUCAAUAGUUUUGGGUUGUGGGGACACCCUGUACAUUUCAGUGAUUUCACUAAGUCUUUUGUUGUCAUUAUUCUUCAAGGAACAUGCGGCUCUAUUCACAUGCAGAUGGUGAAAGCACGUGCUAUUAAAUUAAUGAAGUGUUGAAAAGCAGAACAAAUUUCCAGACACAAAAUUCCUUCAAUUAGUAAGUUCUAUGGAGCUAGAUGCCCCAAAUCUCGAUAUUAUAGUUCAUCUAUCUGUAAUGUGUUUUUUAUAUUUUAUUUUUUGUAACUAAUGUAUAUGUAGGUAUUCAAUGUACCAAUAUUGGUAUUUGUUUGAAUAAAGUUUCCUUCCUUCCUUCCUUCCUUCCUUCCUU
Molecule: non-coding RNA, 508 nt
Organism: Paramuricea clavata
Lineage: Eukaryota; Metazoa; Cnidaria; Anthozoa; Malacalcyonacea; Plexauridae
Source: the annotation of a GenBank genome assembly